ACUCCUACGGGAGGCAGCAGUGGGGAAUAUUGCACAAUGGGCGCAAGCCUGAUGCAGCCAUGCCGCGUGUAUGAAGAAGGCCUUCGGGUUGUAAAGUACUUUCAGCAGUGAGGAAGGUGGGUAUGUUAAUAGCAUACUCAUUUGUACGUUAGCUGCAGAAGAAGCACCGGCUAACUCCGUGCCAGCAGCCGCGGUAAUACGGAGGGUGCGAGCGUUAAUCGGAAUUACUGGGCGUAAAGCGCAUGCAGGUGGUUUGUUAAGUCAGAUGUGAAAGCCCGGGGCUCAACCUCGGAAUUGCAUUUGAAACUGGCAAACUAGAGUACUGUAGAGGGGGUAGGAAUUUCAGGUGUAGCGGUGAAAUGCGUAGAGAUCUGAAGGAUACCGGUGGCGAAGGCGGCCCCUGGACAGAUACUGACACUCAGAUGCGAAAGCGUGGGAGCAAACAGGAUUAGAU
This 454-nucleotide ribosomal RNA is filed under the name uncultured bacterium. RNAcentral's name for it is "bacterial SSU rRNA". It matches the Rfam family "Bacterial small subunit ribosomal RNA", at positions 335 to 783 of the family's 1533-position model. The record is from RNAcentral.